UAAGGAAUAUUGGUCAAUGGACGCAAGUCUGAACCAGCCAUGCCGCGUGGAGGAUGAAGGUCCUCUGGAUUGUAAACUUCUUUUGUCUGGGACGAAACACUUCUUUUCUAAGAGGCCUGACGGUACCAGAUGAAUAAGCACCGGCUAACUCCGUGCCAGCAGCCGCGGUAAUACGGAGGGUGCAAGCGUUAUCCGGAUUCACUGGGUUUAAAGGGUGCGUAGGUGGGUAUGUAAGUCAGUGGUGAAAUCCCCGAGCUUAACUUGGGAACUGCCAUUGAUACUAUAUAUCUUGAAUACCGUAGAGGUAAGCGGAAUAUGUCAUGUAGCGGUGAAAUGCUUAGAUAUGACAUGGAACACCAAUUGCGAAGGCAGCUUACUAUGCGGUGAUUGACACUGAGGCACGAAAGCGUGGGUAGCAAACA
This 422-nucleotide ribosomal RNA is filed under the name uncultured bacterium. RNAcentral describes it as "bacterial SSU rRNA". It matches the Rfam family "Bacterial small subunit ribosomal RNA", at positions 355 to 774 of the family's 1533-position model. The record is from RNAcentral.